UCUAGAACUCGAGAUAUGGGUUGAACACUGAAUAAUAUCUGGGCUGUAGGACAGAUUUUGACUUCUCCGUUGUUGCUAAGAUUUGAACUUAAAAAUGACCUUUUUGAAUCUUGGACUCUGCAUGAAAGUUUUAGGCCUAUGUCUUAGCUUUCCAUC
This is a non-coding RNA of Populus trichocarpa (black cottonwood), 156 nucleotides long. The record is from Rfam. NCBI's taxonomy places the organism in Eukaryota, Viridiplantae, Streptophyta, Magnoliopsida, Malpighiales, Salicaceae.